GCCAGGAAAUGAAUAAGAGGGUUGUCAUGAAGGCUAAAGUCAAAAGUAACUGAGGCUUGCCAAUGGCAGCAGACUUUAUGGUCUUCACCUCUUGCCCAGAACGAAGAAAGGCCCUGCUGGGGCAGGCAGUGCAGUAUUAACAGGUCGUGCAGAAAAGAAGCUUCUUAACUCUCUGAUUCUGAGGAACAAACCCAGUGUCCAUUUGGGCUGGACGCUGGCCAGAAAGCCUAAUGUUUUGGCCAAGUCAACAGCAGGAUCUCAAGUCUCCGGAGUCUUCCAGCCACCAGAACUUCAUCCUGUGCCAUCUGCUCUUCGUCC
This is a long non-coding RNA of Ochotona princeps (American pika), 318 nucleotides long. RefSeq lists it as uncharacterized. The record is from RefSeq and is a predicted model, not a curated record. The transcript is spliced from 3 exons. Lineage: Eukaryota; Metazoa; Chordata; Mammalia; Lagomorpha; Ochotonidae.